Molecule: transfer RNA, 75 nt
Filed under: Hemidactylus frenatus (common house gecko)
Lineage: Eukaryota; Metazoa; Chordata; Lepidosauria; Squamata; Gekkonidae
Description: tRNA-Phe
Source: RNAcentral
GUUACUGUAGCUUAACAUAAACAAAGCACGGCCCUGAAGUUGCCGCGAUGGACACCCACACAACUCCCAGAAACA